AGAGUUUGAUCAUGGCUCAGGACGAACGCUGGCGGCGUGCUUAACACAUGCAAGUCGAGGGCACCCUUUCGGGGGUGACCGGCGAACAGGUGCGUAACACGUGAGCAACCUGCCCGCUUGUGGGGGAUAGCCGGCCCAACGGCCGGGUAAUACCGCAUACGUUCCAAGGCUCACCUGGGCUUUGGAGGAAAGCUUUAUGCGCAGGCGGAGGGGCUCGCGGCCUAUCAGCUUGUUGGUGGGGUAAUGGCCUACCAAGGCGACGAUCGGUAGCUGGUCUGAGAGGAUGAUCAGCCACACUGGGAUUGAGAACGGCCCAGACUCCUACGGGGGGCAGCAGUGAGGAAUUUUCGGCAAUGGGCGCAAGCCUGACCGAGCAACGCCGCGUGCAGGAGGAAGGUCUUCGGAUCGUAAACUGCUUUUCUGGGGGACGACGCAGCGACGGUACCUCAGGAAGAAGCCCCGGCUAACUACGUGCCAGCCGCCGCGGUAAUAC
This 493-nucleotide ribosomal RNA is filed under the name uncultured bacterium. Its description in RNAcentral is "bacterial SSU rRNA". It matches the Rfam family "Bacterial small subunit ribosomal RNA", at positions 8 to 526 of the family's 1533-position model. The record is from RNAcentral.